ACAGUUCUGCCAACUGAAGCAGGGCAGGUACUAGAGAAGUAGACUCAAGUUUUAAAUAAAACGGAAAGAUUAUUCCAGUAAGCAAAGCAUUAUGUGAUUUCCAUAGGUUAGGGCAACAGGCAACAAGUGAUAGUCCAGGGACAAGCAAAUGAUUAGAAUGGGGCAGAAGGGCAAAGCAAAUACAUUUCUGCAUGCAAAAUACAGUUCCCAAACCAGGAGGCGGGAGAUGGCAUAGGAGGCAGGAGCAGAUGUCUGGAAGAAGAGAGCGAAUGGGGGAUGACUGGGGUUCCAUCCACCUAAGAGAAGGCUCGUGAAGAGAAGACUUGGUCUCCCCAGGACUUAGAUGAUGACGUCAGGAACUGAGGAGGAGACUGAAGAACUCACAAGCUCAGUGAUGAGAAUGGAGACCAAGGGAUCUGAAGUACAGACAACAGCCAUCAAACAGUGUGAGGCCCUGAAGUACACCAUCGUCUCAUUAACAUGACAUUUAUCAGCUGGGCUAAGUGGCCAUGAAUAUGAAUGCAUCAGAGAGACUGACUGAGGAAGUUUCUGCUGUGCUGGUUGCAUUCUGCAUUGUGCACAAAAAAUAAUACGGCUUAUGAAAAAAGAAACAAAAGCAAUAAUAAUGAAAAUCUUUACACAAUUAAAUAUCCACGGAAAUCUGUGUCCAGCAUCUUGGUCCAUUCACCCUGCUUGGAGAUGCAGGUCCUUGAAUGUAUUUGCUUCCGAUGGAAUCUUGUUUGAUUAAAAGGAAAUAUGAAUCUCAAGAUGCAGCUUUUUUUCAUUUCUCUCUCAAUUUCUCUCUCUCGCUUUCUCUCUGUUUCUCUCAACAUGAGGGAAAUAUCUUCACAGCUUCUUCAUCUGCACUCACAGUAGCUUCACCACAUAACUUUGGGGAAAGCCUCGCGCUUCUGGAAACCACUAAACCAUCCACUACCUCUGCAUAUGGCUAAAAUUUUCUCUUUAACUGUGAAUGCUUGUUUCUGUCUGCUUCAAACAUGUUUACACACUAGGAAAAAUCACUCAGGAACCAACUUUGCUUGUCCAUUUUAUAUUGACAUCAUUUCCUUAUUUGCCGAUCAUCUGCAACCUAAUUUGCGUUACAAAAACACAUAUUCAAAUCACUUGAACUGAUCUAAUAGGUUAUUCAUCUCACCAUGCUACACCAUAAUGCAUUAUAAGUCCACAGACCUUUUUGUAGACUUCAUACAAGUUUCUUAAAUCUCCCCAUUUGUAGAUUUGUAGAUUUAGAAAUGUUUAGCACCUGCCUAAUAGGAUUGCUAUGAGAAGCGAGUGAGAACAUCUGAGUAUAGUAUUUCGCAUAGUAAAAUAUUUAUUAUCAUUACCGUUAACUUCUGUAGACAAAAGAUGGAUUUCUAGGUAAACCAAA
This 1390-nucleotide long non-coding RNA is filed under the name Equus asinus (donkey). RNAcentral's name for it is "lncRNA (ENSEASG00005024679.1)". Lineage: Eukaryota; Metazoa; Chordata; Mammalia; Perissodactyla; Equidae. The record is from RNAcentral.